UACGUAGGUGGCAAGCGUUGUCCGGAUUUAUUGGGUUUAAAGGGUGCGUAGGCGGCCCUGUAAGUCAGUGCUGAAAUAUCCCAGCUUAACUGGGAGGGUGGCAUUGAUACUGCGGGGCUAGAGUACAGAUGAGGUAGGCGGAAUUGACGGUGUAGCGGUGAAAUGCUUAGAUAUCGUCAAGAACACCUAUAGCGAAGGCAGCUUACUAGGCUGUAACUGACGCUGAGGCACGAAAGCAUGGGGAGCGAACGGG
This 253-nucleotide ribosomal RNA is filed under the name uncultured bacterium. RNAcentral describes it as "partial 16S ribosomal RNA". It matches the Rfam family "Bacterial small subunit ribosomal RNA", at positions 524 to 776 of the family's 1533-position model. The record is from RNAcentral.